UGAGUAACCUGCCCUUAACUCUGGGAUAAGCCUGGGAAACUGGGUCUAAUACCGGAUAUGAUUUCUCAUCGCAUGGGUGGGGGGUGGAAAGCUCUUUGUGGUUUUGGAUGGACUCGCGGCCUAUCAGCUUGUUGGUGAGGUAAUGGCUCACCAAGGCGACGACGGGUAGCCGGCCUGAGAGGGUGACCUGCCACACUGGGACUGAGACACCGGCCCAGACCUCCGUACGGGGAGGCAG
This 238-nucleotide ribosomal RNA is filed under the name uncultured bacterium. RNAcentral's name for it is "partial 16S ribosomal RNA". It matches the Rfam family "Bacterial small subunit ribosomal RNA", at positions 118 to 351 of the family's 1533-position model. The record is from RNAcentral.